Molecule: microRNA, 21 nt
Filed under: Amphimedon queenslandica
Lineage: Eukaryota; Metazoa; Porifera; Demospongiae; Haplosclerida; Niphatidae
Description: aqu-miR-2020-3p
Source: miRBase by way of RNAcentral
CGGAAGGGCAUACUAACCAGC